UGCAGUUCAAGUGGUAGAAACUGUAUUAAUUUGAUGUUUCUCUGUCCUUUGGCAGAACUUUCAAAGGGAGCUCUCAUGAAUGGAAGUCAGUAAACUGGGAUUCAGAGGUCACAUCUGGCUCUCCAUCUGGUUUUGUAAAAUGGACUUUAUUCCUAAACAGGUCAUGUGUGGGUGCAGCCAUCUGUAAAUCAGGAAGAGAACUUGCUCCUGCAACUGAACUCUGAUCUUGUACUUUCCAGCCUUCAAAAUGAUUGGCAUUACAACAAAUAGGCAUUUGGUAGAACUUCCCAUCUGGCUGUUUUCAGAUAAACAAUUUGGAAGAAUGUACCAACGAGUCUCAUCAUCUUUACCAAUUUCAUUAAUUUGAAAACAGGCUUUAUGGAAAAAAAUAGCUUUUAAGCAAGCCUGUAGAUUCUAAAUAUGAUUAUUUCCAAGAUUGACAUCCUGUGAAGAUCCCAACUGGGAAAACUUGAACAUUAUAAACAAUAGGGAUUUAAUUCAAGGAGUUGAUUAUGUAGAUAAUUAAAGAGCUGAAACACAAAACAGGAAAAAUGAAAGAUGACCUAAAAAUUAAGAACAGAAAAAAAUGCUACCUCUUCUGGGACUAAGUAUCAAAAGGACAAGAUGUGGUCACCAAAAUGGAAGGAUCAGUAUCACCUGUGGGGUGCUGGAAACCGUUGUGGACUUUGCUGGAGGGAGAUGGAGGCUAAGAAGUACCUCUGCUAUGGUCAAAGACACCACUGCAGACUAACAAGAGAGGAAGAUAUGUGUCUUGGAUUCUCCCUUUCUCUCACUCUCUAGUCUCUUGACAAUGUCUGCCAUUGAUCAAACCCCAGGUGGAGACCAAAUGACAUGAACCCUGGAAAAUGCAACUUGCAAAGAUUGUCUCUCCUCUUAUCUAUUGCAGAGCAGAGAUUUUUUUUUAAAAAAAAUUGUUUUAUUUAUUUAUUUUUGCAGCCCUGGGAAUUAAACACAGGAACUCACACAUGUUAGUCAAGUGCUCUACCACUGAGCUACACUCUCAGCUCACUUUUUAAAAUUGUAUUUUGAAACAGGGUGUCCCUAAUUUGCCCAGGUUGGCUUUGAAUUCGUGAUCCUUCUGACUCAGCCUUCCAAGUAUCUGGGAGGUGUGUGCCACAACACCUGGCUAGAACAGAAAUUUUGAGAAAUGUAGCCGUGAUGUGAUAUCACCUGGGAUAUGAUAUUAACUGUAUCUUAAAUUUUAAAACAUGUACUAUGGAUUCAUUCUUGUCAUGUAACUAUCUAUUUUUUAGAAUAUGUCACUAAACAGAACAUAUACUUUGAAAAUUCUGUAUGAUUGAGGUCGAUCAAAAUCUCUUACUAUAGAAUCAUAUAUGGAUAUGAAUAAAAUGAUGAAGAUUAUUUGCUCUUUUUCAGUAAAGUGUGGUCAUCUGGGAGGGCAUUAGUGUCUACUCAUUUAUCUGACCAAUUAGUUUACACUUUAGAAACUGAUUGUGCACAGCAAAGGUGAUUUCAUUAGGAGAAAGUUUUGUAGCCAUGUGUCUUGAGUCCUGGGGAAAAGGGUGAAUGAAGGAAAGACUGUAAUAGCAGUAAGAAAAGGAUGGCAAUGUGGCACUUUGGACAGAAACCUAGUAGACAGCAGUAUCAGGAGGCUAGAGAAAGCAAAAAAGGGAAAGUAAUUUUAUCUGCUUCGAAGUAUGAAGUGGAGCUAUUCCUGGGUGUUUCUCAGACAUGGUUUCUGUUUUAGUAGCCUCAGAUUUCUAUUUAGGAAAGAAAGCAUAGCAAUGAGGGGCUAGUACAAACUAAGCAGUUUCUAUUGAAGCUAUACCUGCAUGACAAAAUGCAGACUCUAUUUAUUUGGUGUUGGAGUAGGAGCUGUUGGUAAACACUGAACAAAGUCAAGAAUAUUUUCCAAGGAAACCCUGGACUCUGCCUCCUGUAAUCUCUGCUUUGUAUUUCCUCUUAAAGAUAAUGUCAAGUCUGCAUUGAUGUAUAUUUUUUUUCUCAAGUGAAUCAAACAAGCUUCUGUCUAACUCCAUUUCUCAUUUUGUCUUGUAUGUAUUAUUCUUUUUCUAAAAUGAAAAAUAAAUUCAACAUUGGUUGCCAAACAUCUUCAUUAAUCAUCAACCUCUCAUUUCAAUGCAGUAUAGAAAGCAUGGUUAUCUAUUUUCAAAAGCAAAAUCAACUUUCAAGAUUUUUUUAAACAAAAGUUUGAUGGACAUUCUUUGAUUUAUUGCCUUAUCCGGGUAAAUUUAAUUUAAAAUUUAGGUAUAAUAAACGCUGAAAAUCUUGUUUAAUAUACAGCUCUUCAUCAUGAAGAUGAAGUUUAAUCAGAUUACAUGUUCGUCCUAUUAUCAGAAGACAAUGGAGAUAAAUAAUCAAGCCAACAAAACUCUAGAACACAUAACAUAAAUAUCAUCUUACUUUGAUGGAUCAAUAGAAUCGGAAAGAGAGCUUCUAGCCAGGUUAGCACAGUAAUUGAGAAACCGAAAAAUUUUCUCCUUCAAAAAUACCCUGUAGCCAGAUGGGGUGGUGCACUCCUGUAAUCCCAGUGACUCAGGAGGCUGAGACAGGAGGAUCCUGAGUUCAAAGCCAGCCUCAGCAAAAAGGAGGUAUUAAGCAAUCAGUGAGACCCUAUCUCAGGGAACCCUAAGAACCUCAUUAGGGCACAAAGAUAAUUAUUCUAGCACAUUUUCUCAGUGUGAUUCUUUUUCUAAUCCUCUUCUUCUUAUUAUUAGGCAUUUAUUUCCUAUGGUACUGAUUUUUCUCUAUGUCUCAUUUAUUUAUCAAAAUUGUUCCUUCCUAAGCUUUUAGUAUCUGAAAUGUUCUGGUAAACAUGGCUUUCUCACAUUGUUUUAGCUUGUGUAAUUUCAAAUUGUAUCAUUUUUUGUACUAAUUCAUAGACAAGAAUCAAUCCAUACACAUGCAUUUUCUCUCCAGGCCACUUGGAACACUAGCCAGGCUAUGGAUUGCCUACUCUUGAAUUAGGUAUCCAUCCAUGAUCAAAUCAGUUGUGGUCAGAAACAGUGUCACAAAAUGACGUGGAAAUCAUCCAUGGACACCUGGUUUCACAGCAGCUUCAGUGGUAGCUCAAGGGGCCGGGUAGUGGUGGUAUGACACAACAGUGUGGUUUCUCAACAUAAACAGAAUUUUCUCUGAGCCCUCGCUCAUCUCACAUUCAGUCAUAGAACAAAAGAGAAAUGGUUUCCUGUUUCCAAAAUUUCAGUGGUAUAUAUUUUCAGUAAAUAAAAACAUCUCCCAUUUUGCAAAGAAAAGUAAGGGCCAGAGGGGAUAAGUGAUGUAUUUAUUUUUAUGUAACUACUUAGCAUAGUUGAGACUAAUAUCUAAGAGUUCUGGUUUUUUUGUAGCAUAAUAAGAUAUUUUCUUUACUUGAGACUGAACAAAAACAGUUUUUGUUUUGUUUUGUUUUGUUUUUUGCUUAUGAAUGAGCAAUCUCUGCACUAAGCCUGCUUACCCUAAUUCUGCAGAUUGUGGCUGAGGGCAGUUCUGGGAAAGGUGUUCAUGGAUAGACUUAAUGCUUCUGAAUAGCCUGUAACUCAUUUGGUUUUCAAGAUACUGACAUUUCCAUAACAGAUUUCUUGCUAAUGUCUUUCCCCUGCCCUUCUAAAUGUGGCCUUUGAAAACAAAAAUAGGAAAUUUAGCUGGAGCCAAAUACUAGCCACUUUCAUUACCUGAGAUAUGUUAUAUGCAGGAUCCUAUUUAUAAACUAUAGUUAUCAAAUACACUACUAUUUAGAAAGUAAUUCAUAGUAUUCAGGGAAUGAAAUAAAGUUAUAGUAAGAGAAUAAGAACAUUUUUCUGUAAGUAAAGUCCUUGGAUUUGAGAAAGUAAUUAGAAUAAGUACUAAGGGAGAACAGCUUGAUUAGAGAUGACGAUCAUGAUGAUGAUGAUGAACAGAGGAAGUAAGGAGCAAUGGAGUCAAACCCCAGACUGAGUCCCAAUGUCCUUCCUUGUUCCUUCAUACACCACCUAAGGGCAGGAUGUUCAAAUGUAUACAUGUGAGACGUCAUUGUGGUCAUUGUGUAUGUACUAGGGUGGUUUCUGGAAGAAGAAAUCGAGUCAGAAGUGGAGAGCAGGGCUUUUAAGGAUUGACUAAACAUAGAAGAAAGAUAAGAGAGAAAAAUAUCUUAUGGCAGAAGUGAAAAGUAAGGGAGGGGAAGAGGAGUGGAGGAAGGGAGGCAAAAGUUUGUUUUAGACAGUUUCAAGAAAUAAAAUUAAUACAAGAUUUGUACACUUCUUAGUACUUAACAGAAGAGUUUCUGCUUAAAUUUGUUAUUUUUAGAAAUAGCUAUGUUCUCAAUUAUCAUUGAGCAUCAGAAAAUGUAAAACAAAAAUAUUAUUGCAAUACAUUUCAAAAGAAAUAGUAACUACCUAACUUAUGUUUGUACUGAUCACUAUGUACAAUGUCGUGUUAAAGCACCACAGAGUAGACCUUCCCAUGGAGAACAAGCCAGAAAAAUCAUGUUGUGAUCCUGGGUACUAGCACUAUAGGACAAGGCCCAACACUUAAAAGCUGUAUAGUUACUUCUUACAUUAAAACUGGAAUGAAAACUCUGCAGCUAAAAAACCCAAAUUAUAGCUUCAAGUGAUUUAAAAAUUCAGAAUGUGAAGACCUUAAUAAUACUCUACACAGGGACUCAAAAACAAGGCAUGAACUGAAGAGUAGUUUACCUUUAAGCUAAAUUUAGAACCUGAUUCAAAUACUGAAAUUAUUUACUUAAAAUAAAAAUUAAAGGAUCCAUUGAUUCUGACUAUUACCUGGCUCCCGCUGACCUGUCUCAUAGCAUCAUUUCAAGAUUUUCCCUAUACAUCAUGGGAAGGAGUUAAAGCCUUAGAGUCACUUGUUCAACAUUUAAAAUGGGUGCUCUAUUCCCUCAGGACUAUCAAACAGUAUAAAAAAGCAUGGAUCAUGCAAUCCAAUGCUAAUGUCAGAUAACUUGCUGGUAUUUAAAACAGUAUAUCCAAAUAUAUUUAACUAUCUCAUUUAGCUUCUAUAUGUAUAAUGUCAUGUUAAAGCAUGACAGAGUAGACCUUCUGUUACUAAUAUAAUAAAAAUUAAUUUUCUUAGUCAUUGCUUUUAAUAGAAGUAAAACGAGUGUAAACAAUUUGUUAGAAAUAACAGUGAGUAGAAAUAAGAAUAGUGAGAUAAUUUGCCAUGCAUUGCAGCUUCAUCCUUGUUAUUAUGUAAACAUGCUUCAUAAUCACCUUUAUAAAUUUAUAUACAGUGCCACAAAAUUCACUUAUGUAACUUGGCUAUAAUCCCUUUUCCAUGUCUGAUUUCAUUUUUUCCAUCCUCUUCUACCCUGUAAGUAUUAUUUUCCUCCUCUUUUCCUUUCAUCCUGCUUCUCUUCCUCCUCUUCUUCUUUCAAAUUUAGAUACUGGUGGCAUUGGACUUAUAAAGUACUCAUGGAAAACAUUUAUUCAUAGUUUAUCAUUACCCUAUCUCAUAGUAGAUCUUGAUACUUUUGUAUUAUUAAUAUAAUAAGAGAAAAUAAUAUUAUUACAAAAUAGAAUUUUCAAUCAACAAAUUUCCUUCAUUCUAUUGAUUGAUAGACGUAGGCUAAAAUUAAAAUUCCAUCUUUCAUAAGAAUUUUUGAAUCAGAGCAUAAUAUUUCAUUCAUGGAUGAACAAUUCACUUAUAAAUCAUUGAAAAAUGUAUCAAGAGUUAAAGUUGCAAAUGUAGAACAUCUCAGUCAUCUAUAAUUACUUUUCAAUGUUUUCAGAGUGAAACUGUAUGGCUUUAGAAAGCCUAGAUGGAAAUAACUUAAAAUUCAGUUUUCAUUAUCUCAGGUUGUGGAAUGAACAAGAUGGUUGGAUGAAUUAAAAGGUUAAGAAUUCUGUAUAAGUCUAGUGUGUGUUUUGAAUUUUUGUUUCUUUUCUGUAAAUUAUCAAACUCUCCUUUUCAAAUGGACCGUGAUGUUUGCCCUUUUGAAUUUAUGAUGGAUGCUAUACAAUUAAAAUCAUCAUGACAACUGAAAUGUGAAAGUAAUGGGCCUACAAAAAGUAAUUGCAAUAAAAUAAUCCUGGCAUUUCUCAAGUUCAGAAGUAUAAAGUACUUUAUCUCAGUAUCUAAUCUUUGUUUUUAACCUUCACUUACAUUUACUUUUACUAUUAAACAAGUUUCUUUUUUCUUAUUCAAAAUCCACACAACUGCAUUACUCUGGAUGAAUUUUUGUUUCUUUCUCUGUGACAUCAAGUUAAAAUAACUUCACAAAAUUAAGGUCAGCAAACAUUAAUUUACUUGUUCUAUUUUAUUUUCACUAAUUCAUGAUUAUUUUACUUUUUUCUUGUUUUCUUUUUAUUUGUAGA
Ictidomys tridecemlineatus (thirteen-lined ground squirrel) is the source of this 6311-nucleotide non-coding RNA. NCBI's taxonomy places the organism in Eukaryota, Metazoa, Chordata, Mammalia, Rodentia, Sciuridae. The record is from RefSeq and is a predicted model, not a curated record.